Molecule: long non-coding RNA, 348 nt
Organism: Alosa sapidissima (American shad)
Lineage: Eukaryota; Metazoa; Chordata; Actinopteri; Clupeiformes; Clupeidae
Exons: 3
Source: RefSeq, a predicted model, not a curated record
UCCAAUGUGUUCUUCAUAAGGUUAAAAUAUUGUUGUUAUGAUACGUUUAACAGGUCAUAGGCAGACGGGAAAAGCAGGCCUUAAAAGAGGGCUACAGGAUACUGGGGUGCUCCCAAAGAUAACAGAACGGCCAGAACUGGCUAGAGUUCUGUUCCCACGAGGUGCCUCAUCUCUGAUGGAUCCUAAGAUGAUUUUGAAGAGUGGUUUGACCAGAUGAGGCAGAGGUUGACGAAGAUGAAAUGGAAGACUCAUGCCGUGUCACAGCCUACCUCAGACAAUACGUUGUUCUUUAGAGACAUUGAAAGACCUGGUGGUCUUCUGGACAGGAUGGUCUGUCCUCCAAGAAAC